Molecule: ribosomal RNA, 253 nt
Filed under: uncultured bacterium
Lineage: Bacteria
Description: partial 16S ribosomal RNA
Rfam family: Bacterial small subunit ribosomal RNA
Source: RNAcentral
UACGAAGGGGGCUAGCGUUGCUCGGAAUCACUGGGCGUAAAGGGUGCGUAGGCGGGUCUUUAAGUCAGGGGUGAAAUCCUGGAGCUCAACUCCAGAACUGCCUUUGAUACUGAAGAUCUUGAGUUCGGGAGAGGUGAGUGGAACUGCGAGUGUAGAGGUGAAAUUCGUAGAUAUUCGCAAGAACACCAGUGGCGAAGGCGGCCAUCUGGGCAUUAACUGACGCUGAGACGCGAAAGCGUGGGGAGCAAACAGG